This 855-nucleotide long non-coding RNA is filed under the name Homo sapiens (human). RNAcentral describes it as "HSALNT0395629". Lineage: Eukaryota; Metazoa; Chordata; Mammalia; Primates; Hominidae. The record is from RNAcentral.
CAAAUGGCAUCUCCCAGCCUUGGUUUGCUCAUCUGUGAGACAGGGAGGCUAAAUGUGGCUUUUAGAAGAUGCAGUGAGGGGCCGGGCAUAGUAGCUCACGUCUGUCAUCCCAGCACUUUGGGAGGCCGAGGCGGGUGGAUCACCUGAGGUCAGGGGUUUGAGACCAGCCUGGCCAACAUGCUGAAAAUCCGUCUCUAAUAAAAAUACAAAAAUUAGCCGGGCGUGGUGGCGGGUGCCUGUAAUCCCAGCUACUUGGGAGGCUGAGGCAGGAGAAUCGCUUGAACCCAGGAGGCGGAGGUUGCAGUGAGCCAAGAUGGCACCGCUGUACUCCAGCCUGGGCAACAGAGCAAGACUCCAUCUCAAAAAAAAAAAGAAAGAAAGAAAGAAAGAAAGAACGAAAGAAAGAGAAAUUCCAGGGUAGGUGGGGUGCAGACGGGACCCUCACGGCAAUAGGGAAUCACGGCAGGUUCUGGAGCCCAGUGGCUAAGCUUCCUCUGAGGGGCUUCCUCUGAGGGCCACAUAAGGAAUGGGCCUGGGCUGGGCUGUGGCAGAUGUCCAGGUGCAGAUGGUGGCGGCCUGGACUAGGGGUGGGGGACGGGGGGCAGAGGAGGCGAUGGUAGCUUCCAGAAGGUUCCACACGGAACAACCUGCUGCACUUGGGGUGCCCCUGCGUUUAUUGCACGGCACGGCCGUCUCCGCAGGCUCACCCAGGCCGUGGGGACAGGAGGUCCUCGGACACGAAGCGCCCGGGAUGCGCACGGAGGGGUUCUGCACCCGCGCUCCCAGUGUCCCCGCACCUGCGCCCACGUGGCCUCUCACACCUGCGGCCCCAGCCGCCGCGCACGCGGCCCAGCG